AUAGAAAAGGCUCUUCUCAAAGCAACUUGGGGUGUGUGUGGUGGGGUGGGCAUGAGAAAUGUCCUCAUUGUAUUCUCCAACUAAAUUUCCUUGUAGUACAGCAUCAGCGUUAUCUUUUCUCUAGUAGAUUUUUAACUCCUGAAUUUUUCACCACUUCACCGACCAACCAGGCUCACAGCAAGCUGAGCAACCACGGCCAAUGGGGCUGGAGAAAGGGAACCGGUGCUGCAGCACCCUGCAUUCAUCCUGCCCCAUGUCAGCAAUGCCGGAGUUCUUUGUGAAACAAGAGACCCGUCUUACCGGCAUGACUCCAGCCGCUCCGUGGCUGAGGAUUCUUCUACCCUCACAUCUCUGACUCCUGAUCUCCUGAAGUUUCUGCUCAGAUGGAACUACCUCUUUGCCGGCUGUCAAGCUCUCGGUUGGCCCGUUGGCUACUGUUGCCACUCAGUAGUUGGAUGCUACAACAUACUGUUUGAAGUUGAGGUUCAAUAAAUAUUGUUGAUUGACU
This is a long non-coding RNA of Ornithorhynchus anatinus (platypus), 508 nucleotides long. RefSeq lists it as uncharacterized. The transcript is spliced from 2 exons. The record is from RefSeq and is a predicted model, not a curated record. Lineage: Eukaryota; Metazoa; Chordata; Mammalia; Monotremata; Ornithorhynchidae.